UGAAUACGAGAUGCUACGGCGUCGAAGCAGUCUAUGUCAUACUUCCAAGAAAAGCUCGCACUGUCAUAAACAAAUAAUGCCUGUACCAUAACCGACACAGGUGGGUAGGUAGAGUAUACUAAGGGGCGCGAGAUAACUCUCUCUAAGGAACUCGGCAAAAUGACUCCGUAACUUCGGGAGAAGGAGUGCCUUAUUUAUAAGGUUGCAAUAACAAGAUCCAAGCAACUGUUUAUCAAAAACACAGGUCUCCGCUAAGUCGUAAGACGAUGUAUGGGGGCUGUCGCCUGCCCAGUGCCAGAAGGUUAAAGAAGUUGGUUAGCAUUCGCGAAGCUGAUAACUGAAGCCCUGGUGAACGGCGGCCGUAACAAUAACGGUCCUAAGGUAGCGAAAUUCCUUGUCGGGUAAGUUCCGACCCGCACGAAAGGCGUAAUGAUUUGGAUACUGUCUCGGAGAGGGGCUCGGUGAAAUAGACUUGUCUGUGAGGAUGCGGACUACCUGCACCAGGACAGAAAGACCCUAUGAAGCUUUACUGUAACUUGAGAUUGAAAUUGGACUUUACUUGCGCAGUAUAGGUGGGAGGCGUUGAUAAUAUUCUUGCGGGAUUAUUUGAGCCAUCAGUGAGAUACCACUCUUGUAAUGUUAGAUUUCUAACUUUGUAUCAUUAUCUGGUCAAAGGACAGUUUCAGGCGGGCAGUUUGACUGGGGCGGUCGCCUCCUAAACGGUAACGGAGGCGCACAAAGGUUUCCUCUGAACGGGUAGAAAUCGUAUCUAGAGUGUAAAGGCAUAAGGAAGCUUGACUGUGAGACCUACAAGUCGAGCAGGGACGAAAGUCGGUCUUAGUGAUCUGACGGUGCUGAGUGGAAAGGCCGUCACUCAACGGAUAAAAGUUACUCUAAGGAUAACAGGCUGAUCUCCCCCAAGAGUUCACAUCGACGGGGAGGUUUGGCACCUCGAUGUCGGCUCAUCGCAUCCUGGGGCGGUAGUACGUCCCAAGGGUUGGGCUGUUCGCCCAUGAAAGCGGUACGCGAGCUGGGUUCAGAACGUCGUGAGACAGUUCGGUCCAUAUCCGGUGUAGGCGUUAGAAUAUUGAGAGGAGCCUUCUUUAGUACGAGAGGACCGAGAAGGACAUACCUCUGGUGUACCAGUUAUCGUGCCAACGGUAAACGCUGGGUAGCUAUGUAUGGAGUGGAUAACCGCUGAAAGCAUCUAAGUGGGAAGCCCACCUCAAGAUAAG
Molecule: ribosomal RNA, 1235 nt
Filed under: metagenome
Description: bacterial LSU rRNA
Rfam family: Bacterial large subunit ribosomal RNA
Source: RNAcentral